AAAAAGAUUGCCCAUGUAAUUACA
Molecule: non-coding RNA, 24 nt
Filed under: Cricetulus griseus (Chinese hamster)
Lineage: Eukaryota; Metazoa; Chordata; Mammalia; Rodentia; Cricetidae
Source: RNAcentral